AGUUUUAUUCUGGCUCAGGGUAUUUGUUAUAGGAUUGAUCUAUAUGUAAGAUUUAUUAAAAAGUUCGUUUGCAGUGGGUGUAAUUACUUAUUGGGGUAACCUUGAAUUAGCAUUUUUUAUGUAUUUGGCCGAGUUCGUGCCAGCUGUCGCGGUUAUACGAUAAAAUAAAAUAAAUAUUAUUGAUGGGGAGUAAAUUUUUAUAUAAAGUAGUAUAAAUUUUUGGUGAAAUAUUAUUUAAAGUUAGAUGUUAUGCAUACUUCGAAAUUAGUUUGUAAACUAGGAUUAGAUACCCUAUUAUCCUAAUAGUAAUUGUAGUCAUCAGGGUAGUAUAAUAUAAAGUUUGAAACCUAAAGAAUUUGGCGGUGUUUUAGUCUUUUUAGAGGAAUCUGUCCCGUAAUUGAUAUUACACGAUUAUUUACACCUAAUUUAUGCUUGUAUACCGUCGUCAUUAGAUGAACUUAUAAGAGUAUUUUCAUGAGGCUAAUAAUGGAAGAUGUCAGAUCAAGGUGCAGUUUUUUAGGAUGGGAGAUGGAUUACAAUAAUAAAAUUUAUUAUGAAUUAUAGAUGAAAAGUUUAUAUGAAGGUGGAUUUAAAAGUAAAGUUGUUUUAGAUAAUAAUUUGGUUGGGGCUCUAGAAUGAGUACAAUCGCCCGCGCUCUCAUUAUUUAAGAUGAGAUAAGUCGUAACAUAGUAGAUGUACUGGAAAGUGUAUCUAGAGAA
This 719-nucleotide non-coding RNA is filed under the name Gryllotalpa orientalis (oriental mole cricket). The record is from RNAcentral. Lineage: Eukaryota; Metazoa; Arthropoda; Insecta; Orthoptera; Gryllotalpidae.